AGGAUGAACGCUGGCGGCGUGCCUAAUACAUGCAAGUCGAGCGGUAAGGCCCCUUCGGGGGUACACGAGCGGCGGACGGCUGAGUAACACGUAGGAACAUACCCCAGAGUGAGGGAUAAGCACCGGAAACGGUGUCUAAUACCGCAUAACCUCUUCGGAGAAAAGCUUCGGCGCUUUGGGAAUGGCCUGCGCAUGAUUAGCUUGUUGGUGAGGUAAAAGCUCACCAAGGCGACGAUCAUUAGCUGGUCUGAGAGGAUGAUCAGCCAGACUGGGACUGAGAACGGCCCAGACUCCUACGGGAGGCAGCAGUAGGGAAUUUUCCACAAU
Molecule: ribosomal RNA, 327 nt
Filed under: uncultured bacterium
Lineage: Bacteria
Description: SSU rRNA
Rfam family: Bacterial small subunit ribosomal RNA
Source: RNAcentral